RNAcentral lists this ribosomal RNA (253 nucleotides) under uncultured bacterium. RNAcentral describes it as "partial 16S ribosomal RNA". It matches the Rfam family "Bacterial small subunit ribosomal RNA", at positions 524 to 776 of the family's 1533-position model. The record is from RNAcentral.
UACGUAGGGUGCAAGCGUUAAUCGGAAUUACUGGGCGUAAAGCGUGCGCAGGCGGUUGUGCAAGACAGAUGUGAAAUCCCCGGGCUUAACCUGGGAACUGCAUUUGUGACUGCACGGCUAGAGAGUGUCAGAGGGGGGUAGAAUUCCACGUGUAGCAGUGAAAUGCGUAGAGAUGUGGAGGAAUACCGAUGGCGAAGGCAGCCCCCUGGGAUAACACUGACGCUCAUGCACGAAAGCGUGGGGAGCAAACAGG